This 1778-nucleotide long non-coding RNA is filed under the name Vigna radiata. RNAcentral's name for it is "long non-coding RNA (VRAD_LNC003333)". Lineage: Eukaryota; Viridiplantae; Streptophyta; Magnoliopsida; Fabales; Fabaceae. The record is from RNAcentral.
CUUAACCCGUUUUCCAUCAUCCGCAAAAGAGAGGGCAAGAGCUCGAACAAGUUCCAUCAAGGUACCUAUUCGAUAAACAUCCUGUAAACCACAAUAUGUGGUCAAAUGAUACAUUUAGAAAAAAACAAAAGAGCACAGAUCUGCAUACCAUUUCUGGGUUCAGCUCAGGAAUGUUGAUGUCAACCUAUUUGAUUUGGAAUGACAAACAAAAGCAUAUAUUAGCCUGCAAUCCAAGGGAAUUAAAAGCUUAAUAUUUUUACUUCUCAUCUUCCUACCCUUCGUUACUCUUUAUCAUUGAAUAUUAUGCAUGCAAUAAGAAUGUUGAUUUGUUUUACUAAAAGUAGGAAGUGCUAUUGCAUCACUAUGUUAUAAGGCAUCCUACCUAUGUUGUCACCCCAAAAUAACAACAAUCAUUUGCAGUACCAAAAAUAUCAUAAAAAAAGAUAAAAACAAUACAAAAACGAAGGGUUCUUUACCUUGAUUAUCUUUUUACCCAGAAGUGGUAGUUAAAAUCCUUGUGUGCUUACUCUCAACGGGAGAUUAAGAUAAGAUAACCAGAGUGUUUGGUAUACUCAUUAUAGCAGGAAGUGACAUUGAGAAUACUUGUCUUUCUAAUCUGAUUGAUUGUAGCAGAGAUACCUUUAAGAGUGUCUUAAAGAAAAACUGGGUGUAGCUCAUGGUUGUGUAGCACCAGAAUAAAUCACUUUGUUCUCAACUCAGUUAUAUUUGUGUGUAUAGAUCAUCAGUCAUUAGACCUUCUAGUGAUUGGCGAAAAGUUAUCGGUUCUAUUCAACCUCUCUUGUAAAGCUAGUCUGUUACUUUAGUUUUUUUCUGGUUUGAGCUUGAAAAAACAAAAAAUAUACAGCAGAAGCUGCUUUAUUGCUGCUACCACUGCUAUCAACAAAGUUCUGUGGUAGAGGAAGAUUUUAAUUGAGCUAAAACAUGUUGCAAAAGGAAAGCACAGAGAAUUUUGUUGACAACUAAACUGAAAUAGCCAUAUACCAUAAUCUCGUCUUUCAUGGAAAAACUAAGCAUUUCAACACUAACUUGUUUUUCUUAAGAGAGAAGUGCAGAAAAAUGUAGUUGUCACUGAAAGACCCAUGAAAAUAUUUACCUUAAUAAUAAAUAGUAAUAGCUUUUCCUUAUUAUUAUUAGUAGUAGUAAUAAAAUUUUAUAGGUAGAAACGUGAUGAAUGGGAUUAUAUAAAAGAAAAGAGGUAAGUAAAAUAAGGAAUUGUGGUAGCUCAUACGGUAGCUAUGUAAGUGACGGAGAGAUCCUUUUGGACUUGAACAUCCUCUAUUUCUAGUAUGUGAGAAGAAUCAAGUACAUACUUUCAUAGAUUAGAGAGGAGGCAUUAAAGCUAGUCAAGUUCCACGCAUAAAGGGCCCAAGAUAGAAUGAAGCAGUUGGCUGAUAAGAUGAGGAGUGACAAAUUCUAUGAUAUUGGUGAUUUCGUGUAUGUCAAGCUUCAUCCGUAUUGGUAUAUUUCUAUGGCAUUCAGAUCUAAUGCCAAACAAGCACCUAAAUACUUUAGGCCAUUUCAGAUUGUUGAUCAGAUUGGAGUGGUAGUUUACAAGUUGAGGCUUUCAUAAGGGUCUAAAAUCCAUUGAUGUUUUUCACAUUUUGCAGCUUAAAAGACAGGUUGGCCACACACCUGUUUCCAGAGGUUUAGACAGUGUUAUGCGAGCCAAGAACCUGAGCAAAUUCUAGAUAGAGCAACUGUAAAGAGGGGCAACAAAGCUAUUAGAAAAGUAUUAGUCAAGUGGAAGCACCAGUUAC